UACGGGGGGAGCAAGCGUUGUUCGGAGUUACUGGGCGUAAAGGGUGUGUAGGCGGUUCUUUAAGUUUGGUGUGAAAUCUCCCGGCUCAACCGGGAGGGUGCGCCGAAUACUGAGGGACUCGAGUGCGGGCGAGGAAAGUGGAAUUCCUGGUGUAGCGGUGAAAUGCGUAGAUAUCAGGAGGAACACCGGUGGUGUAGACGGCUUUCUGGACCGUAACUGACGCUGAGACACGAAAGCGUGGGUAGCAAACAGG
RNAcentral lists this ribosomal RNA (253 nucleotides) under uncultured bacterium. Its description in RNAcentral is "partial 16S ribosomal RNA". It matches the Rfam family "Bacterial small subunit ribosomal RNA", at positions 524 to 776 of the family's 1533-position model. The record is from RNAcentral.